CAGUCGCCGCGGGAACACAGAGGGUGCGAGCGUUAAUCGGAUUUACUGGGCGUAAAGCGUGCGUAGGCGGCUUCUUAAGUCGGAUGUGAAAUCCCUGAGCUUAACUUAGGAAUUGCAUUCGAUACUGGGAAGCUAGAGUAUGGGAGAGGAUGGUAGAAUUCCAGGUGUAGCGGUGAAAUGCGUAGAGAUCUGGAGGAAUACCGAUGGCGAAGGCAGCCAUCUGGCCUAAUACUGACGCUGAGGCACGAAAGCGUGGGGAGCAAACAGGAUUAGAUACCCCCGUAGUCCCUGUCUCUUAUAC
RNAcentral lists this ribosomal RNA (301 nucleotides) under uncultured bacterium. RNAcentral describes it as "partial 16S ribosomal RNA". It matches the Rfam family "Bacterial small subunit ribosomal RNA", at positions 509 to 807 of the family's 1533-position model. The record is from RNAcentral.